GUCCCCGUAGUAUAACAAAUUACACUGGUCUUGUAAACCAAAAAUGAAGAAUAUUCUUCCAAGGAUA
RNAcentral lists this transfer RNA (67 nucleotides) under Choloepus hoffmanni (Hoffmann's two-fingered sloth). Its description in RNAcentral is "tRNA-Thr". It matches the Rfam family "tRNA". Rfam says of the family: Transfer RNA (tRNA) molecules are approximately 80 nucleotides in length. Their secondary structure includes four short double-helical elements and three loops (D, anti-codon, and T loops). The record is from RNAcentral. Lineage: Eukaryota; Metazoa; Chordata; Mammalia; Pilosa; Megalonychidae.